RNAcentral lists this ribosomal RNA (470 nucleotides) under uncultured Methanomicrobiales archaeon. RNAcentral describes it as "bacterial SSU rRNA". It matches the Rfam family "Archaeal small subunit ribosomal RNA", at positions 871 to 1337 of the family's 1478-position model. Lineage: Archaea; Methanobacteriati; Methanobacteriota; Methanomicrobia; Methanomicrobiales. The record is from RNAcentral.
ACGGGGAGCACCACAACAGGUGGAGCCUGCGGUUAAUCGGACUCAACGCCGGGAAACUCACCAGAUAAGACAGCUGAAUGAUAGUCGGGCUGAAGACUCUACUUGACUAGCUGAGAGGAGGUGCAUGGCCGUCGUCAGUUCGUACUGUGAAGCAUCCUGUUAAGUCAGGCAACGAGCGAGACCCACGCCAACAGUUGCCAGCUCGUCCUCCGGGAUGGUGGGGGACACUGUUGGGACCGCCUCUGCUAAAGAGGAGGAAGGAAUGGGCAACGGUAGGUCAGCAUGCCCCGAAUUAUCUGGGCUACACGCGGGCUACAAUGGGUGGGACAAUGGGUAUCGACACCGAAAGGUGAAGGCAAUCUCCUAAACCCAUCCGUAGUUCGGAUUGUGGGCUGCAACUCGCCCACAUGAAGCUGGAAUCUGUAGUAAUCGUGUCUCAAAAUGGCACGGUGAAUAUGUCCCUGCUCCUU